RNAcentral lists this ribosomal RNA (230 nucleotides) under uncultured bacterium. RNAcentral describes it as "partial 16S ribosomal RNA". It matches the Rfam family "Bacterial small subunit ribosomal RNA", at positions 562 to 791 of the family's 1533-position model. The record is from RNAcentral.
AAAGCGUGCGUAGGCGGCCAUUCAAGUCAGAGGUGAAAGCCCAGGGCUCAACCCUGGAACUGCCUUUGAAACUAGAUGGCUGGAACACGGGAGAGGUGAGUGGAAUUCCGAGUGUAGAGGUGAAAUUCGUAGAUAUUCGGAAGAACACCAGUGGCGAAGGCGGCUCACUGGACCGUUGUUGACGCUGAGGCACGAAAGCGUGGGGAGCAAACAGGAUUAGAUACCCCUGU